Non-coding RNA from Danionella cerebrum, 76 nucleotides. The record is from the annotation of a GenBank genome assembly. Lineage: Eukaryota; Metazoa; Chordata; Actinopteri; Cypriniformes; Danionidae.
GCAAUUGUUGCCUAGUGGAUAAGGUGAUUGACUGGAGAUCAAAAGGACACUGGUUCGAUCCCCAGCUCCAAUGGUG